AGACGUCUACAUUAGGAUACCCGCGUAGUCCCAGCCGUAAACUAUGCGCGUUAGGUGUAUCGGUGACCACGAGUUACCGAGGUGCCGAAGGGAAACCGUGAAACGUGCCGCCUGGGAAGUACGGUCGCAAGGCUGAAACUUAAAGGAAUUGGCGGGGAGCACCACAACAGGUGGAGCCUGCGGUUUAAUUGGACUCAACGCCGGGAAGCUCACCGGAUAGGACAGCAGAAUGAUUGCCGGGCUGAAGACCCUGCAUGACUAGCUG
RNAcentral lists this ribosomal RNA (265 nucleotides) under uncultured archaeon. RNAcentral describes it as "partial 16S ribosomal RNA". It matches the Rfam family "Archaeal small subunit ribosomal RNA", at positions 717 to 982 of the family's 1478-position model. The record is from RNAcentral.